Molecule: long non-coding RNA, 430 nt
Organism: Clupea harengus (Atlantic herring)
Lineage: Eukaryota; Metazoa; Chordata; Actinopteri; Clupeiformes; Clupeidae
Source: Ensembl
AAAAAAAAACUAAAAUUAGCCAAAAAUCGAAAACGGAAGGGGUACGUACGUCCUUGGUGUUGUCAGAACAUGCUAGCACAGUGAGGCGUCCGGGGCGCAAUUUAAGAAGAAAAGAAAGGAAGAAGAAGAGAAACGUGCCAAGGAGAAAGUGAGGGAACGAAGAGAAGAGGGGAGGAGAGGAGAGAAAAAGAGAGAGGUCAAGAUCAGGAAGAGAUGUGUCACAGAGUGGAUUAGAGGAAGUAAAAAGGGGACGAUAUUUGAGAGUGACCUGUUCCCUGACUCUACAUUCUGCCUUUAAUACAUAAAGGUGAAAAAUCAAUGAGUGUGGUCUUGGCAGGCCAGACCUGGCAGUGAGUUCUACUCACGGAGCUUGCCUUAUUCAGAAGAGUCAGAAGAAAAGAAUCAAUGGACUUUAUUUUCCAGAUGCACU